Molecule: long non-coding RNA, 1069 nt
Organism: Myodes glareolus (Bank vole)
Lineage: Eukaryota; Metazoa; Chordata; Mammalia; Rodentia; Cricetidae
Source: RefSeq, a predicted model, not a curated record
AGGGUGCACUGGGGACCGUGGUACUGCCACCCAGUGUGCCAACUGUCUUCGGUGGUUUCCUCGCCUCUGGAAUUUGCAGGAAGAGCCCAGAGGUGACCUGCACAUCCCCCUACCCUAAUGACAGCAAAGCAAGAGAUGGGGAUGAAAAGUCCAGGAGGUCACAUUGCCUGCCCAAGGCCACAUAACUCACUCAGAUCAAAGAUUCAUCCUCCAUGCUGCUGGCCUGAAGCACCCUGGGUACUACCUGCACUCUGUAGACAAGACCUCAUCAUUGAACUUGUGAAAUCCGGGAGAACCUCCUGUCUCUGUCUCCCAGUGUGGGGGUUACAGAUGCAUGUGGCCACAUCUGACUUGCUCACGGAUCUGAACUCAUGUCCUCAUGCCUGUGUGGUAGAUUCCUUACCCUUUGAGCUAUCUCACUGGCUCUCAGGUGAAAUGUGAACCACAAGCCCAGAGGAGGCAACAUCUCCAGAUCCAUAGGAAAAGCUACUUUCAGAUGGCCACUGGCCAAUCAGCCAGCCAGUUCCAGUUGGAGAUACCCUGGUCAACAUGGGGGUCUGGCGCUCUGAAUUUAAGUCUUCAACAAUCAGAUGAUUUUCUAGCAAAGAAAUCCCUCCAAGAAGAAAUCUUGGGGUCUCUAGUGACUAAGUAGACUUGUUUAAGCAAGUCACGUGGAAAGAGGAAACACUGGCUGGGUCAAAGGGACUGGUUCUGCUCACAUUCGGCCACCAGCUCCCUGCACGGCCAUCAUCGGCAGCCUCAACCUCUGGAUCUCGGCCUUCAACUCUGAACUGGUCUCUGGGUCUUGACUCUGGGUCAGGCCUUCUCUGUGGACAGCAUCACCUCUGUAGCUCUGCUUUGUGAUCGAGGUGGCCUUGUUCUCCCGCUUCCAACUCUUCCAUGGCAAGGAGCCGUGCUCAGGGCUGGCCAGCACUGUCGGGCCAGUGGGAACGGGGACAACACAAAGCAGCAGGAAGCCAGGCUAGAUAUUCUCUACAGCCAGGGCCCACACUCCCUCUGAAUCCUAUUGAAAAAAUAAUAAAAAGGUAAUUACUUUGUCAUUACUGAA